ACGGUGGCGGACGGGUGAGUAACGCGUAAAGAAUUUGCCCUUCAGACUGGGACAACUAAUCGAAAGGUUAGCUAAUACCGGAUAUUAUGAGACCUCGGCAUCGAGGACUUAUGAAAGCUAUAUGCGCUGGAGGAGAACUUUGCGUUCCAUUAGCUAGUUGGUAGGGUGACGGCCUACCAAGGCAGAGACGGGUAGGGGACGUGAGAGCGUGACCCCCCACACUGGCACUGGGAUACGGGCCAG
Molecule: ribosomal RNA, 243 nt
Filed under: uncultured bacterium
Lineage: Bacteria
Description: partial 16S ribosomal RNA
Rfam family: Bacterial small subunit ribosomal RNA
Source: RNAcentral